UUUCAAAUGGAAUCCCCCAAUUUCCUCCGUAAUCCCUACCUUAUUUCGUCAGAUUUCCUUCUCCUUCUUCAUCAUUUUCCUAAAAUACACAGUCGAACGAGUUUUUCCAUUUUUCCAUUUUCGAAUCUACACAUAUUGUGUAAUUUUCCACAAAUGUUCAUUGUUUUGUUUUCGUCCCUGAUUUCUUUUCCCCUUCGUUGAAACCAAGUUUCUUUUUCUUGACGACUGCAUUUGCACACAUUGCCUCCGAAACCAAAUCCAUCAUUUCUUUCAAUUAAGGGCUCUGCUGAAACAGAUGAGUGUCGGACUUAUUAGAGUUAACUAACCCAGUUAGUUUCUAGUCAGCAUCAUUAUUGUUAUUAAAACAGUUAUAAUAAUUGGCUAUUUAUAUGCCCUAUUCAAUUCAAAUGAAUCGCCUUAAUAGGACUUCCCCUUGUGGCUGCGUUUUCAUUUCCACCCAACGGUGCUUCAAGUGACAAAUGCUCCAUGGCAAAUGCUCCACUCAAGUACCAUGAGUUGAACGAAAGAGUCCAAUAGGGCCAUCGACGGAGCAUGGCAGGGUAGUCGCUCCUUUUGAAAGGAUGUACCACUUAAACAAGUCAUUCACGAGGUACUAUGGUUUUAAACAUGUAAUUUCAUAAUUUGGUGUAUGUAUAAUUUUUUUGUUUAUGCAUUGUUGUAAUAUGUUCCUUACAAUUUGGGCACAAUUUCAAGGGUUUUUUUUUUUCAUUUAGCACUAUAAUGACUAUUUCUCAAAUUUUGAUCAA
This is a long non-coding RNA of Cucumis sativus (cucumber), 767 nucleotides long. RefSeq lists it as uncharacterized. NCBI's taxonomy places the organism in Eukaryota, Viridiplantae, Streptophyta, Magnoliopsida, Cucurbitales, Cucurbitaceae. The transcript is spliced from 2 exons. The record is from RefSeq and is a predicted model, not a curated record.